Molecule: ribosomal RNA, 642 nt
Filed under: Triticum aestivum (bread wheat)
Lineage: Eukaryota; Viridiplantae; Streptophyta; Magnoliopsida; Poales; Poaceae
Description: partial small subunit ribosomal RNA
Source: RNAcentral
AUGGAAUUUCAUGCUUACACAGCAGAGCAGAAUCCAAUUGUAAGAAAAGUUGUGGCCCAUAAUGCUCCAGGUAAUAAUCAGUUGACUUCUUCGAAGAUUCAGAAGGACAUAGCUGAAUGUUUUGCAAAGAAAAUAUUACAUUCGGUUCUUCAGGAAAAUGGAAAUGAUGUAGUUUCUUUGUUGGUUGAUGAGUCGAGGGAUGUGGCUGGUAAAGAGCAAAUGGCAGUGGUAUUGCGGUAUGUUGGUAAAUGUGGAAGUGCCAUAGAGACAUUAGUUGGCCUUACUCAUGUGAAGGAGACAACCUCCAAGUAUCUCAAGUCUGCCAUUGAUGACUUAUUUGCAGAAUAUAAAUUAAGUUUCAAGAAAGUUAGAGGUCAAGGAUAUGACGGUGCUAGCAAUAUGAGAGGUGAGUUCAAUGGCUUGCAAUCCUUAAUAAUGAGAGAGAACCCCACGGCAUAUUACGUUCACUGUUUUGCACAUCAGCUUCAGUUAGUUGUUGUGGCUGUUGUUCAUAAGCAUAAAUGCAUUAGUAAUUUUUUUGAUAUGAUCUCGGUCUUGUUGAAUGUUGUCUCUGGAUCAUCAAAAAGAAAAGACAUGAUUCGAGACAGAUAUAAAGAACAAGUGUGUGAAGCUUUAGGUUGA